GUGAGGAAUAUUGGUCAAUAGCCUAACGGCUGAACCAGCAACUUGGAGGAAUGUAUAGGGAAAACUGGUAAAAUGUGAUGUACCUAGUAAUAUUAGUGAUUAAUAUGAGAUUAACUAAGUUAAUUAAAAUUCUAGAUAGGUUUUGAUAAUGACAUUAUUUAUCUAUGUCUUGACCAAGUCACGUGCCAGCAGUCGCGGUAAUACGUGGGAGACUAGUGUUAUUCAUCUUAAAUGGGUAUAUAGGGUACCUAGACGGUUAAUCAAGCUAGCGAUUAGUACUAAUUAACUAGAGUUUAAUAUAAAAAGGUUUUAGUACGGUGAGUGUAGAGAUAAUAUUCUGUGAUACCACUAUGGAACUGGUAAAUGCGAAGGCAACCUUUUAUGUAAAAACUGACGUU
RNAcentral lists this ribosomal RNA (398 nucleotides) under Redonographa parvispora. Its description in RNAcentral is "SSU rRNA". It matches the Rfam family "Bacterial small subunit ribosomal RNA", at positions 354 to 747 of the family's 1533-position model. The record is from RNAcentral. Lineage: Eukaryota; Fungi; Ascomycota; Lecanoromycetes; Ostropales; Graphidaceae.